AAAUGAAAGAAAAAGGGGAAGGACAUCAUAAUGAGAUAAAAUCCGUCGACUUUAAAAAUCGUGAGGGUUCAAGUCCCUCUAUCCCCA
Molecule: transfer RNA, 87 nt
Filed under: Trichosanthes kirilowii (Chinese cucumber)
Lineage: Eukaryota; Viridiplantae; Streptophyta; Magnoliopsida; Cucurbitales; Cucurbitaceae
Also listed under: 1 other name
Description: tRNA-Leu
Source: RNAcentral